This is a long non-coding RNA of Parus major (Great Tit), 18381 nucleotides long. RefSeq lists it as uncharacterized. The transcript has 5 exons. The record is from RefSeq and is a predicted model, not a curated record. Lineage: Eukaryota; Metazoa; Chordata; Aves; Passeriformes; Paridae.
GUGCCUCAAAUUUGUUUGGUUGUUUGGACAGGUUCAUGAAUAUUAGCUACCUGUCUCUGUCCUCCCAGCAAUUUUUUGAAUACUGUUGAUUUCUCAGACUGGUCAGAGACAUCAAAAACAUUACUUAGAUAUUGAAGUGCUGGAAACCAAGGCUCUGCAAAGGCAUUUGUCUUGUAUUUGUGCUGUCUACAGUGUUUUCUGUUACAGGCCUGAAAUUUUCUUUUGCAAUGUCAGAUAAAAGUGCUUCUCCCUGCAUUACCUACACUGCUGCCUCUGUGUCUAUUUCUCUGAUCUCCAUCCCACAAGAAACUGGAACACUGAUCCACAGAGCGAGUUAAAUGUAUCUUCUGUACAUUCAUUCCCCUGUUUGUUUCGGUUUAUUUUACAGCCUUGUCACUAUUUCUCAUGUCACUGCUGGAUUCCUGCACAUCUAGGGAUGUGUCACCUAAUCGUCUUGGCCCAUAGAACUUCAGCCACGUUACUUGUCUGGCCAGUGUGAACCCACUUUCUGGCUCUGUCCCAGAGCUGUGGCUGGGGUUUUGGCAGAGGCAGAUUACUCAUGUAUUAGGCUGGGCAGAGCCUAACACAUCCCUAAGAACGUGCUCUCUGAGCUCAGGGAAGCAGUGCUCACCUGUUGGCAGGCUGCUAGUGAGCUCCCUGUGCUUUACAGGAACAAAAUGAAAGUGCUGUGAGAGGACAGACAAUGAGGGCAUCAGCUCACAUACACUACACUUGAGGAACUUCAGAAAAAUUAGUUUGGACCUUCACCCCAUGCUCUGCUACAGUGUCAUGGCUGUGAGAUACUGAAAGUCUGGAGUUUUCAGGAAUGUAUCCCCACCAAGUCUCUCUUUUCCAUGCCAUGUCCAUCGUAAUUUCACACUGGAAGGGGUAAAGCUGCACAAGUGCUACUAUAGUGACCAGAGGAAGGUACAAUUGGAAGGUACAAUUCAAUCCAAAUUUGGCAUUUCAAAAGAGUUGAAGAAACACUGUGUGGCACUUCUGAGGCCAAAUUUGGUAUGUGCAGCCACAGCUCUAUAGCUAGUUCUCUGAAAGUGUUUGCAAUAAAUAAUCUAAUUUUAAUUAACAUGGGAUAUAAUAACUCUUAUUAAAUCUAAAUUGAAUGCAUGUUAGGGAACUUAAAUUUGUAGUAUUGCCCAAUACAAACCUUCAAAAGUGGCAGCUUCAAUACCAUUACUCCAAGUUUUAUAACUAUGUUAAAAAUGACCUGGUAAAUUACUCUCCUGGGUAAUGUGUAAUGCCAUAAAAAUUAAACACUAAUUUAUUACUUAAAUAAAAGACAUCAGAGAUUGUCAGGGUGUUAAACAUCAGGGCUGUCUUGUUUUCCAAACCAUAUUUUAUGGCAGACACAGCUGUUACUUCUUAAAUGGAGCUCAAAUAAACAACCUUUUUUUUUUCUAAAUGAAGGCAAGCAAAACCCAGGAUGGGCUACUGGCUCUGAGCGUGGGAUUUCAAACUUUUUUCCAACAUGGAUCCCGUGGUAGUGAAGUGACUAUAUCUAUUGCUGCCACUGGUGAUGGAAAAUAUCAUAUCUUCAGUAAAUAAACCCAUUAUUUAUAUAUAUCACCCCCUGGGACCAGGGGUUUAACAAAACACCCUGUCUGCAGUGUUAUUGCUUUCAGUUCACAGGCUGCUCUUCUUUAUCGCUGCUGCUUUGUGCCAGCUUUGCUAGCCAGAUAUGAGACUGAUAAUAACCUUUCUAAAGAUUCAAUUGCAACUUUCCCAUUGACAUAAAAUGAAGCACAAGCAGGAAUGACACCACUUUCUCUUUGAUGGCUGUUUUAUUUUAUAUCCUCCUCCUAGAGUUUGUGCAGAACUGUGGCAGUGCAAGCAAUCAAUCUUCCCUCAACUCUGAGUUUCAGCAGGAAGAAUAAAGCAUACAAUACACAGUAUUGCUGCAAAAUAUUAAUUUCUUCCCAAAGUGCUGGCACUUAAUAAUAAUAAUAAUACACAAUUAGCUCGAUUUUCAAAAGGAUUAGAAGGGCGAGGUAGAUCUCAGUGGUGAAUUUUCAUUUUCUUGUAUGAUCACUCAACUUCGACACCUUGCAGAAUCCUAGUUUCUCUCCUCUGGCACACACGUCUGGAUACCCGAGCAAUGCCGUCUCCUUAAAAAACCCCAGCAGAUGGCAGCAGGGCACAAGCUUUGGCGGAAAGGAGACUCGGGAGUUUUACCUUUGUAUCUAAAGAAGUGUGAACGGAUAGUUCAGCUUUCUUAGAGGUUUGUUUUUGGGUUUUUUUUUUUGUUUUUUUUUCCCCCCCCUACUCCCUUCCCUCCCCUGUGUGCAGAGCAGAGGCAUGGGUAAUUCACUGUCCUCUCCGAGUUUCAGGCAUCCCGCAUCUCCAGUUACUCAGGGACUCUAUGUGCCCCUCUUGCUUUGCAGUUGCCGUGUCGGUCUUGCAUAAGGAGGGCAGCAAAGAAAAGCCAGGUGGCUUCUCAAGGGGUCUCAGCCUUGUGUCCCCUCGGCUUUCUUUGGAGCAGUUCUCCCUUUGUGAGGCUGCCUGCAGCUCAGCCUCAUGUCCCACUGCAGCGACUUUCCAUCCUUCCCGAGCCCCUGUGGCCCUUCGGAGAGCUGCUUAUCAGUCUGUGCGCUUCAGAAACUAAAUCCUGCUCUCCUCGGUGCUGGCAGCCAGGCAGUAGCUGCCUUUUUAAAGGGAAGAGCUAUUCCUAAAAACUACUAGCUGCACGUUUUGGAGCGGAGGAACUGGGCACAGCGAGUUCAAAGCCUGCUGUGAUGCCUGUUGUCACUAUCCUGACACUAAUCACCAGAAAGCUUUACUCCUCACCCCUGACAUGGCUGGGUAAUCGUGUGCCACUGGAAUCGACAGGUUGCAGUGAGCCAAUAAAGGCAGAGGGUCUGACCUACAGCACGGGGUGAGAGCUGCUCUGCCAUCAUCUCCCAACACUUCUUGCUCUGCCAGUAAUGCACCCUGACUGUCCACAUCCCAGCCUCUGGCACGGUGCCCCAAGUCAGUGCUGGGACUCAGUAAUCAUUCUCCAGGCUUCCUUCAAUAUUUGCUUUCACUCUGCCUUCCUGGUGCCUUCCUUCUGCUGUGUCUGGAGCCACGUUGUAACUUCUCUGUGACACAGACCGGCUACAAUCCCUGCAAUGCACUCGUGCUUGCUGCCCCACAACAACCGCAAACCCCAGUAAAGCAAGAGAGUUUCUGCUUCUUUUGUAAAAUGCACAGGUUGGUUUCAUAAGCAAGGACAAAAAGAUCAUCUAAGGCUGCAAAAGAAUAAUAGGGUCCGUGGCAGGUGAAUAGGAGACAGCUGGAGGGGAAAGCGGCUGGCUGGAGCAGCAGGUGGUAUACUUCAACAGCCUGCUCUCUUCCAGGAGCAAAAGGAAGAGCUCCAGGCAGAUUUUGGCUCUCAGAUUCAUAUUCUGCUUUCUGGGUUUCUCCACUGGUAGUACAGAAAUAUGCUGUCUGGAGAUUGUCUCUGCAUGAGUCAGCAUGAAUAGCAGGGAUUUCUGUCCCUGGGUGCAUGCUGUGCCACUAGGGCUCUGUGCGCCAGGCUGAUGUGGGAGCAAGAGACGCUCUGAUAAAUUGUACCUGACAUAGCAUCUCCUCAGAUAAUAUGAACUGGAAGACCAAAGCUCAAGAGGUCUGUAUGGACCACAAGAAGAAUUCAAAGAUAAAAUACAGCCUUAUGGCUUGAUGGAAGUAGUGUUUAUUUCUUCUGUAAAGCUCCGUUUCUUGAUACCAACCACAAAUGGAAUAAAAAUCAGCCUUUACAUUUUUAUCACAACAUCUGCAUGACUUUUCUGCACUACAUUAAUUUUCACAUUUCUUUAGUAGUCUCCAUGUUCUGUGCUUUUCAGUAUUUCCCUAGAGGCAAAAAUGCAAUAGAGCAACCACUUGCGGGAGGAAAGCUCCAGUCUUUGGAAGGCAUUCAGCUGCACACCUUCUUAGUGGUGCUGGACACAGAAUAGAUAACUCAAGGACAUGAAAAAGGACUAUUCAUCCCAAGUUUUUAGACACUCUAGAAUAUCCUAGGCAACUUUCUUUCUUUCACAACUCUGGAGAUCUGUACAUAUUCAAAAAACAUAAAAAACAGGAGCAAGAAAGGUAUGAAUCACACGUCUGAUGUUUUCAUCAUUAUCCAUCGGUGAUUUCAAAUUGAUAGUGAUUACUUGAAAACUUUUGUAUAAAUAGAAGUUUGCAAUAAAUAAAAAAAAAAACCAGUCUUUCAGACAUGUUACUUUGUAAUUUUUCAAUCACACCUGGCAUAUUUAUCAGCUUCAAAGAUGUGUACAGUACACUGCUUCUCUAUGAACAGGGGAAUCAAGAAUAAAAUCAUCAAACCUACAAGCCUGAAUAUGUUUCCCUAAUUCCUAUUCUCAGUUAUUUAAGGAAGUAGACAAUUUAAUAAAAAUUAAGUGGUUGAAAAUACUCCUGAAGAACAGGUUUAGUAGUCUGGUUUUCCUGGAUUUCAAUUCUAGUAAACGUGAUAGGUUUCUGUUAUGUUUUGUUUUAACAUGCUGAAUUAAGUUGAGAAUUAUAUUUACAAAUACUAAGUAGCAAAACAUUUGUACCUCACAGGGAGAUGCAUGGAGACCUCUUAAUGAUUCACAGAUCCAUAAAACCUCUGAAAAUUGUACCUUCCCAAAUGUGCAGUAUGGUUUGAUGAGUGCAGUGGCAGGAUGAGUUGGUUUUUAUUUAGCUUUGUUCACAGAAAAUGGCUUCAUUGUAUGGAAGGUAUUUCUUCUACAGAAAGCUUUCUGAAUUUCAACAGCACUGAGACAAGGGUUAGCACUUUCCCAGUAGAAACACAGGUCUGCUAAUUCUAACCAAAUAUCCAUAAUGAUCAAAAUGGGGAAAGACAGCACUUUGGAUUAGUAAAUGAAAGCCAUUAUUAAUACCUACAACCUUGUAGUAUGCACUUCCUGGCCAUCCCUAAUGUGAGAAGAGCAGCCCCACUGUGUGUCAGUUAUUAUGAGCAAAAUCAGCACACAUUUACAGUCUUAUAAAUACCACAGAAAGCAUCUGCACCAUUCAAAUAAUGCUUAAAUUAGGGAAUCAGCAAGCCAACUCAUUUUAUUGUAAUGAAAGGGCAGAAGAAAAAAUCUGGAUAGAUCUUUAGAGAGCUUUCAGGGUGAAAGAAAGCCACAGUCUACAGAAAUAAAUAUUCAUGUGGAUUUACAAGCACAAGAUGAAAAUAUUCCUGUACAUUGUAAAUUGGACAAGAAAGUCUAUGCUAUCUGUAUUUUCCCAAUAGGGUUAUAGUAAAUGUUUCGUAUUCAUAUUUUAUUCUUUAUCUGCAACAAAGCUUUAUGAUGUUUUCCACUGGUAGCUGAUGGUAUUUGAAUAUAUGGAAACCAAACUGGUGCAAAAGAAAAGGACAUGCAGAGAAAAAUACUGCAUUGUAAUAUGUGUAUCAUAGUGGUGGAGAAAUAUGGACAUGCAUCAAAACUGUUUCAGUAAAGUAAACAUAAUCCUCCAUGGCUACCCUAAUUUUGCUGUUAUUUUUUGAUUCAGGACUUUCAGAAGGAAGUGUUACAGAAGUAACAAAAACCCCUAUACCUAUUUUGAGAAUGCCUGCUACAUUUCCAACCUUCUAUUUUUAAUGAAAAAUCUCCCCUGUAAUUAUUCUGCCUCUUAUUCAAACAUUUCAGGCUUUGGAUCAAACCAGCAUCAGGUGGCACAGAAAGCAGACUUCUCUCAAUCCAGAAAAGUACUUAGAGAGAACGAGGAACUAAAUUCCUAUGUAAGCACUUCAGAUCUUUUUCAUUUCAGUGAAAUACUCCGAAUCAGAGCUCUGCCCACUGCUUCUGCUAGAUAAAAACCCAUGAAUUGCUACUAAUUUGGAUGGAUAAGUUCUUAAACAGGAAUAAAUUACUCAAACACCUCUGUGGAUGUGAGCCAUGGAGCAGGAUAUGGGGGGGUCUUAGAAAGUUGGUGCAUUGACCAGGAAAGUGUGCAGACCCUUUUGAAUGCAAGGUACCGAUAUGGGAACUGUGUAGCUCCUUGUCUUCUUUCCUGCCACUUUCUUCCCCUACCAGCAGCAAGCCUCCAGCUGCAUGCAGUAGUUCCACAAAAUCUCUCCUGGUGUGUCUGUUUCACGAGCUUCAUAUCCCUUGAUUGACUUCCUAUCAUUUGCACAUUGCUUUCAAGCUCUCUUUCCCAGCACUCCUUCCCACCUGAUCUUUGUUUUUAAAAACAAGAAACCUCCUGUUCACAGACCAUAUGUUGUCUGCGAUCAUUAGCCAGUUCUGGGAGUGCAGCCAGGAAGGCAAUAGUGGGACAAAGAGUGAUGGACUCAUAGGAAAUGUCCUUUUCUCCCAUGCCUGUACACACCCUGGCAGAAGGGAAGCGUCAAUAUCUGAGCUGGAGAGAGAAAGCUAGUAAGGAGGGAGGGAAAAUGAACAGUGUACACAAACUUUGAAGCUGGUAGGAGAGGAAUGUGUUUCAUAUCGGCCUUUUCAGGAACUGACCAUCGUCUUAAUGGUGAGUUCUACUACAAUGGAACGAGUAAUUUCCAGCUCAGACUGUUGAUUUUUCCCAUACCACCUAUUUUCCUGAUGUUAUUUUCCAGACUAUAUUGAAUUCUGAUCCUAUUUUCAUUUCUUCAUUUCCUUUUACUCUCAACAUUACGAUCCUUACAAGCUCUCUGCCUGACCUCUUCACAAAGUCAGGGAGCACAGUCUCCCAUUUUUCUUAGGACUGUUCCUAGCCAGUCAGUUACCAAAAGUGAGCUCACCAAACAUGAACAUUUACAAGAUUGAUACAUUUACAAUAAGGGUAAAAAUGAAUAAUAGGGGGAAAGUAAUUUGAGUUAGAGACAUUUAAAAGGAAGGCAGUUAAAGACAUUUAAUUACUUCUUUAUUGUCUAUAAUAACAUGGUGGCAAUGGUUUCAGCCUAUUUUUCUUGAGCUGAGAGACAGUUUGUUAUGCGCUGUCUCCAUGAAUAUCUCCAGCAUGCAAAUAGAAUGCCUUGUAACUGCAAAAGGCAAUUACUCUUAUAACAUAUGCAUAAUGAAAUCUGACUGCAUUAUCUUUUUGUCCUUAAUAAGAACAGUUUACAUUUUUGUAAUUUGUGAUGCAUCUUUUAAGAUAUGUAUUUGCAUGGCCUUUUUUAGAAAAAAAGAGGGAGGAAAAAAGCAAAGUAAUAUAGCUCAAGUAGCCCCCCAAGCAUAUAUAUAUAUAUAUAUAUCCAGAAUGAAAUGAUAGCAUUGCUAAUUAAACUGAAGACAAGAAGGAAGGAUACUGCUAUACAAAGACAUGCCUUCCUCACUAAAUCAAAGAGGAGACAACUUGAGGAAGGGAGCAGCUUCUGACACUUCAGGCUAGUGACAGCUGACCCCAGAGAGCAGCUGGACAGGCUGAAGCAACGCCCAGCACUUGUGCCUGUUCUUUAACUGAUGGGAUUGCACACCAGAAACAUGGUCUGAGCCUGAGAGCUUCACUGUCCUGGGAGAGUCCAGUGGGUCAGUGCAGUUCCCAACACAGUCAAUGGCUUGCAGAACUAAAUACUAAAAUUUGUAAGUGCACAAACAUAUCUAUCUACCUGAGCUUUCAAUUACUCCUCGUUUUCACAGGAUGAUAGAAAAGACUUCCAUGAUCAUCAAAUCCAACCUGAGACCUAAUAUUACCACUAAACUGUGGCAAUAUUGCCACUUCCACUUGUUUUCUCAACAUUUCCAGGCAUGGUGACUCCACUAUUUCAUCAUGACACACUCUAAUGUUAUGGAGAUUCUUUUACUGUAUAUGGUAAAUAAAUAAGACUGUGAUAUUGUGUUCAGCAGCUCUUGUGUACUGUAGUCCAACAGUGUGGACUUCAGAGAAUCCUAGAAUGAUUUGGGUUGCAAUAUACCUUAGCAAUCAUCUAGUUCCAAACUCCCUGCUGUGAGCAGGGAAACCUUCCACUAAACCAGGCUACUCAGAAAAACCUGGAAAUGAGCAUUUCCAGGAAUGGGGCAUGCACAGCUUCUCUGGGCAAAUAGAUAGUGUCUCACCACCCUUGCAGAAAAUAAAUUCUUCCUUAUAUUACAUCUAAAUCUACCCUCUUUCAGACUAAAACUGCUCAUUGUCCUAUCACUACAGGCCUUGGUAAGAAGUCUCCCACCUGCUUUCUUAUAAGGCCCCUUUAUAUAUUUAAGGGUUGCAAUCAGGUCACCCUAAAGCCUUCUCCAGGCUAAACAAUGCCGACUCUUCCAGCCUGUAUUCAGAGAGGAGCUGUUCCUGUCCUCUGACCAUAUCUGUGGUCCUUCUCUGGACCCACUCCAACAGGUCCAUGUCUUUUUUUAUGCUGGGGACCCCAGAGCUGGAUCCGCCACUUCAGGUGGGAUAUCAGAAGAGCAGAGGGGCAGAAUUGCCUUCUCAACCUGCUGACCACACUGCUUUUUAUGCAGGCUGAGGUCUGAUUGCCUUUCUGGGCUGCAAGCAUCAACUUACAGAACAAGUUCUCAGGGAGUUUAAUGGGAGUGCUGAACAUUCAGACAGGGUAGUUGAUUCAGUUCAACAUGAAUAAUACCUGGGCAUCUCUGAACAGACACGAACAUGUUAGUUGAAAUAAUGCAUUUUUGUUUGGUCAUAAAGAAUUACAGGUAUUCAGAUAACCCAUUUAAUUUAGGUAAUUAACAAAGUGUCUUUAUAUGCUUGGUUUUAAAUAGAUGGAUAGAUGAUGGUUUAGCAAAAAACUUUAAUCCCAGCAGCUAAUGCUCAUUGUUCUACUGAGUCACAUUGAGCUCUGUUUCAGUAUGUCAGAAUGAUGGAAGAUGCAGCCCAUCAAGCUGCCAAAAACAUGAAGUGUGGAAUAUAAAUAGAUGUUUUUAGUGUCACAGGUGCUGCUGAAUUGUCUGGAGACAUAUUAUUCAAAUUUGCAGGUAAUAUUCCAUCCACAGAACACAGUGAUCAUGUUCUCUGUUGUUUCUUGAAAGCACUGUCCUGGAAAUCAUUAACAAAACUAGUUUCUCAUGGGGAAUGGCAAGGUUGUGCAAUCUUAGGUUUCUUCUAAUCCUGCCUAUAUAACCCUCCUGUAACCUACAAGAAGAGUUUAAUGCUAUUAGCUUAUGCUUGCUACAUUGCAUGCUUUUGUUUUUUCUAGUGCUGAGCCCUCUCAGACAGAAGAGAUUAUUUAUUCUGGGUCAUAUACACAUGUAUUUGCACCAUCAUGGUACUUGACUUUGUUCAAGUGUGAUAAAAAUACAUGGGUCGGGAUACUGCAAGCCAAAGAAUAAAUUGUGAAUGCAGCAACAAAAAAAUAUUGCUACUAAGAAAUGACUGUACUCUGUGUUUCUUCAGUUUCCAGGUCCUAAAGUAUCUUCUUCAAAACAUGCUGGCCAUGUGGAAAGGUCUAAUGUAGCUCUGGUCAUUUGUGGAAGAGCUAUCUUCAGGCUGAAUGAGAUUCUGGUUUUUGCAAACACAUCUGCAUUUUUUUGGAAGUCCUCCAUGAAGUGCUGGGAUUGAUGGACUUUUUUCCUCUCCCAGGUUCUUCUCCACUCUAGAAACUAGGCAAUAUACUGUUCAGUUACCCCUGGCCCAGGUUUAAGUCUUCAAUGCUUCUUGAGAAUCAAGAGAAUUCUUGAGAGUUUUAGUAGAGAUCUUAAGUCCAAUGGCUCCCCUUUAAGUUGAUUAAGUAUUGUCAUCCUAAUUGCACAUUGCAUGGAGGAGAUAAGUGAUGCUGAAAAUCAGAACUACUUUGACAUCUAAGUCUGUGACAAAGCACCAGGGUCUCUCAGGACAUUCCAGUCAAUCUUCCUAGCAAUACCUCCUUUCCACCUGGCAUAGCAAAUAAACACUAGCCAGUAAAAAGGAAUAUUAUUUUAUGAAACAUAAUAAACUUUAUCAGAACCUCAGGAUGGUGUCAUAUUGGUCCUGAGUUUUGAGAUUUCAGCUUUCAUCCUGGAAACAUUUUAAUGCAAUUUUUAGAAAAAUAACAGAAAGCAGUCAACAUCCUUAACAGACUUAUGAACAGAUACUGUGCAAGAAGCAGAGCAUGAGACAUGAAUUAAAUAAAAAAGUAACCUUGCUAUUAUUUUUAUUUUGAAACUGCAUAAGAACAUACAGUCUUUUCAUUGCAUUGUAAUUGUUGCAAUUACAGAAUUUUUUAAAAAGUCCUGUAGUAGCAUCUGAAAUCUGAAAGUAGAGCUGCCAGCAAAGAGAGGCCAUGUAUAUUAUUCACAGAGAAUGAAAUCAGAGUAACUAAAUGAUGGAUGGUGGAAAAUGGAUUGCAUUUUUAAAGCUGAUGUUGUAGUAUUAAGUGUUAUUAGUAACAGAGACAAGCAUCUUCUAAAUAAUGCCCUUAGUGACAAGUCCAACUCACACAAGCAGAUGGUUAUGCCCACAUGGAAUGUGACUGCAUUUGGAUUUGCCAGGGUAAAUCUGACUGCGGGACUGGGAGAUAGUUAUCAUGGCAAGCAAUUCAAGCUGUGACAAUUCACCAUUUUUACAUAUUAAAUCCACGUUUUGCUUGUGCCAAAACUUUUUGGUCAUUUUUUAUCAGUGUGUUUUGUGGCAAUUCUUGAAGUCCAUGAGAGCUACUGCAAUCCCAUCAACUGUUCCUACUGAAUAACAUUAAAUCUUAUUUAUAUUGUGACUCUGACAUGGCUGUGUGUGUUAGUAACUUUACACCAGUAGUUCUCAGUCUAAUGUUGCAUAAACUUCUUUUGCAAUAACACUGCCUUGCUGCUACAUAAUCCAAAGGCUCUCAAGUGUUAUAUUAAUAAAUAUAGCCUUUUAUGACAUUCUUUUAAAAGAUAGAUCAUUCCAAGUGGAAUGUUGGUUCAAUGCUUUAACUCUUCAAACACUUUAUUUCUAACAGUCUGACUUUAACCUUCCUCUCACAAAUUGUAGAGGUUAAUUUGUGAGAGAUUGUUGAAAUACGUGGCUUGUCUGUCAUUCCUACAGGUUAGGUGUGACUUAGGUGGCUGCAGUUUGGCCUUUAGUAACCCAGAAUCAUAUAAUCAUAGAAUAUUCUGGGUUGGAAGUGACCCAUCAGGAGCACACAACACUCCGAGAGUUCACACCAUGUGUCUAAGAGCAUUGUCCAAACUCUUCUUGAGCUCUGUCAGGCUUAAGUGCUGUGACCACCUCCCUGGGAAACUUGUUCCAGUGCACAACCAGCCUCUGGGUGAAAACCCUUUUUCUUAUAUCCAACCUAAACCUUCCUUAGCUUCAUGCCAUUAACACACAAAAUAUUUUACAAUUCCUCUGGGAGAGUGUACAGUACAUAUGCUGCACACAUUCUUAAAUGACAAUAAAGACUCUAGAUCAUAUGAUCAUACAAGAGUUCAAGACCUUAAGUUCCCCAGGAGAUUUUGACAAAAAAUGACAAAAGGAGAGAAUAUUGUGUGGAAAUCCUAGAUGCUUUCCUGGGAUCUGUAUGCUGUAAGUGUUACAAUUUCUCAAAAUCAUUUCAUACACAGUUUCUAUAGAAUUCUUCAGGGAUUUAAUUUACCCUGUGGCUAUACAUACUGCUCAUUUAUUUUUCCACAGUUUUCUUUGGAGCGUGCUUUCAAACUUAACACUGAGAUUCAAAAUUAGGCAUUCCAUCUUUCUAGAAGAAGACAAAACCCUUUCCUUUCUUUCCUCACCAGCCCUACACUGUGGCCCAGGGAAACACAGGUAACUUCUCUCUGGCUCAGACUCCAUAACUAGCUGUGAAGCCUGUGGAUAGCUAAAUACUUAUCAAAGUUUGAUCUGUGCGUCCCUAUUUCUAUUCAUGAAGUUGCUCAGGUAUAAUUAGAGGCUUUUCCAUAAUUACAGAGUGGCUUUUUGUCCCCACAGAAUGAGGCACACAGAUGGACACUAUAAUGGAAAUUAGUCAGCAGCCUGUCCAUGAUUGAUGAGUCGGUAAAGUGCCCAGCUCCUACCCUCGCUGGAGUAUAGGUGCUCUUGGACCCAGCCAGCAUGAAAGAGAGCAGACGGCAUUCCAGCCUUCGCAUUAGCAGGUGGUCCUGAGCAAGCAAAUCUCCUGAGUGAAAGAUGGCAACCUUACAUAAUCAGUUUUCAGACCUGAAUUGUUUUUACAGAGAAAAUAUUUCUCAGACAAAGAUGCAGCACUCAACUUCUCCUUUCAGCUUUUCUUUUUGCCUUAGUAACACAGAAAAACUCCAGACAAAUUAACCGGGGACAAAUACAGAGAGAGCAGUCCUGUAUUUACUUGAUUCACAUUAUUAAGCAUAAUUUGAACAUGGGAUCUGGCCACAUUCAUGGUUCAUGAUCAGACUCAGCACACAAUGCUGGAACUCCUAUUAAUUCUCUGAGAAAGCUGUCAGGCUCCAUUUUGAUCUCAUGCCUAAUGAGAAAGGUUUGUCAUGCCCUGUGAAAAAUACUGGGCAAGGCUUACAGGUUUCUAAAAUCUCAUUUUCAUUCCCUUCCUUUCUGACUGUGCUGCGAGGAGCUCAGUUGCCACUGUUCAGAAAUGGAUGAAAGGGAGACAAAGCGAUGCGAGUGUGAGCUGGCUUGAAUCAAUGCCUGCUUCACUGCGGCCAGGAGAUCAGCAUGCAGGAAACACGCUAACACCUGGGAAGUGCAGACUGAGGCACAGCACCCAGGGACGCCAGGACAGAUGAAUUAAUGAACCUGUGCUGGAAACUUCACGUGGGGAUCCUUUUUUGUCAAACAGGUCUUUCGCAGUGGUAAGAAUCUGCUGGGCAAAAUGAGAAGACAAGAAACAAUUCUUCCUUCAAAUGUUGAGGUUUUGCAACUAACUCUGCCAUGAACUGACAGAAUAUUUUGAUCAAAUGCUCUGAAGACAAUAUUCCCAUCAAGUCUGGGACCUGAUACAGAAGAAGUAUCUAAAGGGCUUCUGAGUUCUCUCUUCCCCAAGACCCCCAACUCUUCCCCCCAUAUGUACUGCUGUUGUACAAUUAUCUAACUUAAAAAGAUCUGGAUGACACCAUCUGUCUGUGACUAGCUGCAACUGAAGUCAAGAAAACCUGAACAGCAGCACUCAGAAGUGAGGUUGGCAGCAGGAUGAACACUCACUUUUUGUCUCACAAUGAUUUACAGAGCAAAUUCAUAAACAAGGAUAAUGUCAUCACUCUCCCCUUUAAGUUCAUUCAUUACUGCUAGCACCAAGGAAUGAAUGAAUUUGAAGUCAAAUAGGAAUCAUCUUCAACCUUAGCAAGCUGUUAUAGCUUGACCAUUUCUACAUUUACAACAAGGUAAAAGACUCUGCUCAUGAUGCAUGAUGCACUACAGAAUCCUCUUCCCUCAUUCUUGGUUUUGUAUUGAUUGCAGGAAGAGAAAUCAUCGUAACUGCACAAUAAGUACACAGGACUGAAUAAAUAACAUUGAGUAAGAAAGAGGUAUUUUAACAAAGAAAAGACAAAUUACCAAAGAGUUAUUUCAUGCCACAUCAAUGACAUAUUUUCCUGUGUUUUCAGAUUUGGAGAACAUUAAGACUUUAUUUCUCACAUGUCUGGUCACUGCCAUGAGCCAGAAGUCUUAGGAGAAAUGUUUUUCUUACUCCCAGUGAGUAGGAUGGUAGGUAAAGUACAAGUAGGGUAAGUUUGCUAUAAACAAGGCCUGAAUCAAGUCCUGAAGGUGAGUAAUACAGAAGAGAAAAGAGAGAAAACACAAGUAGAAUUUGAAAGUUUCAUGAUUCAUUGAAUCUUGAAACAUCUAAACCUCUCCAUCUGUCAGUUCCCAUGAGCUACAUACCACGGCUGUUGUCAGUACUUGCAUGGUACAACUCUAAAAGAGAAAGAGCAGUCUAUGUGAUCCUAGGUUUGUCUGGAUCCUGGCCUAGAGCUGCCAGCUCAUUAGAAAUACAACACAAGCAUUAGGGGCAAUUCCAGACAGCAAAGUCCUUCAAAGUCUACAUAAAAGCAAUAGCCUGAAAACUUACUGUGCAAGAGAUAAUAUGCCCUUCAUUGGCCCUUGGAUUAAAUUUUGAACCACUCAAAUCAGUCUUAUAUACACAUUUAUGAUAGUGAAUGUACAGCACUGAGGAAAAAAACCCAGUCCUUUUGUGUUUGUAGACAGCCUUGUGUAACAAAAUCCUGGAUUUUGGCCAGAGUCCUGUGGUGGUACUAAAGUACAGGUAAAGGAGAGUUUGAAAGACACUACUCAGCACAUUUGUAGCAUGACCAAGAGAUGAACUUCAAAAUUUCCAUCUCUCAAAUUUUUAAUCUCUUGUUAUCAGUAACAAAAUAAUUCAACAUUUUUUUUGUGGAAGAAGUAAAAAGGAGGAAUGCAUAAUGGACAAACAGAAAGUACAUUUAGUUUUUAUAAAUAAAAACAUAGAACAGGUUAUAAAACUAAGAGGAUGGAAUUAAUUUAAGGAAGAUUUCACAUUUUUCAGCCUGCAAACUCUGUUUCAAUAUUGCACACCAGUUACAUCUGAUGAGCAGAGCUGAGAAACACAGGACAGACAGCAGCCUAUUUAAUCCCCAGUCACUUGACCCUUUUCCCUACUGGAGUAGUUUUAAUGGCCAAAUUGUAACUAGAAGGAAUGAACUUCAUGGCUUCUGGCUAUCUGCUUGUCUGUUGGUGAAAGUUUCAGCUCAAAUCUAUCACUCAUAUAGAAAAGAAGUACUAUCAGCUGUAUUAAAUCUAAUAUUUCCUAAGGUUUGAAUGCUUGACUUUCUGUCUUCAGUAUCCCCCUCCAUGUAAAUUUUUAUUCUGUGCCAUUACUUACUGUCAAAGUGCUAAAUUUUGACUGACUGGAAAUAUAUUAUAAACAUUAGGUGUCAAUGUCAACGUACAAAGGAACUCUGCAAGGUAACCCUAAAAGAUCUAAAAAAGCCUGUCUGGAUUUGUAACAGUACAAGAAAAACAACAAUUUGAAGUAGCGCAAUUUGUCAGCCAAGUUUCCCUGCCUUAAUCAACAAAAUUAAUUAAUUCCUUAAGCAUAACUGAAAAAUAAGUUUUGAUAUUUCAACUUUUAUUUGAUUGGGAGAUGUAACUACUGCAUACAAUUACUAAUAGUAUUUUCUUGUCUAUCAUUUCAGAGAUGGCCUUUAAGUUGCAAAAAUGUUGAAUGAAAGUUUUCAGAGUGCUGUGGCCUGAUUCUACAAAGCUUCCUAGAUUUCUAGGAAAUUGUAAUUACUCAUCUGAUAAAGAUGUGGAGUAAAACAGCAGAACAUUGCAAAUCUUGAUUUUUUUAUGCAGUCAAUUUGUCUAAUUUUAUUGGAAAUUUUUUGUUUGUAUCUAUCUAUCUAUCUAUCUAUCUAUCUAUCUAUCUAUCUACCUAUCAUCUAUCUCUAUAUGAUGUUUCUAGUCAUGUGUGCUCCUCAAGAUUACUUUUAUAGUCCUUCAGGUUCUUUCAGGUAUAUUCAAAUUUGAUCACUUUUACCUAUUUAAGAUUUCUCUACAUAAUGCUAGAAAUAGUACUUAAAUUUGAACUAAAUGUACCUACAUAGAGCCAACGAUAAGUUCUCAGUUUGGUUUUGGUUUUUGUUUUCCACAGAGAAUGUGUAGCCUAGACACUUCUGAUCAUGUAACACCUCUGUGGAAGCUCCAGCUGCUGCCUAGAUGGGAAAGUAAUGGAAAAAAAAUACAAAGACAUUGUUAGCAGUCUCUAAUGAAGGAGAGGGGAAGCCAGUGUCUUCUGACUAUCCAGCUCUGUCUGCAUCAGCAGCUCUGUUACUGAGAGCACACAAGGUUAAAGGACAGAUGGAUUUUCAAAAGUGCCAAAGGGUGUCAGGAACUGAAAUAUCUAUGAUUUCAAUGGACCAACAUGAUGCUGAGAAGAAACUUUGCAGGUUUGCUGCCCCUGUCUUAUGUCUUGGGAAGUGCUCACCUAGACUGAAAACCCAGCUGCUGAGGAGUUUUCAUGGCAAGAGUGGACACUGUCAGCUGAAGAUGCCAAACUGAGAGAUUCUGCUCCUGCUUGCCACUCAGGUGGAUUAUGAUCCCGAUCUGACAGCACAGUGAAUGGCAUUUCAGUUACAAUGUUCAGCAUGAAUAACAGAAGGGUAAAACAAUUUUCUGAAAUCUCCUCCCACCACACCUCCACCAGCCCAGCUCAAUGGCCAUCUGGAACAUUUGUGACAGAGGAGAGAAAUGCUUGCACUUCAAGGAGCUCAUUCUAAUUCCUCGUUUCACCAAGCUGCCCAGAAAGAGCUGAAAAUCAAUAAAUGAUAGCUCUGUAGUAAGUAUUACCACUUCAGUCUCCAAUUACUUUUAAUAACUUUUAAUAACAGGAGCAUCAAGGAAAUGGUAAAAUCUCUCUAAUAAUUCCCAGGCCUCUGAAAGUGAGAACUUGCUUUUGUGCCUUGAGCCCUAGCACAAUAUGAUUCUAAUUCUGGUCCACAGAAAAGCUCAAUGCUUUGAUAAAUUUCUUUCACACAUUCACUGUGUUAGCUACCACACACACACACCCUAUAACUUAAUUGAUUUAAAAGUUCACUACAAAUUAAGCUGCAGAAAAACAAACUAUCAUGACAGUGUUACACAUUGCUGAGUAGGGAUAAAUGUAAAGCACAAAUAAUACAAGACAGGGAACAGCAAGAGUCAGGGGAGCCACAAUUGAAAUUUGAGUCACUCUGACACGAAUUAAACAAACACCUCACACAGAGUUUCCAAGAGAUGCAUAGUGAUUCUUUCUGUUUCAACUCUUGGAGGCUUCAUUGCCAACUAAUAUUCAAAACUAGCAACUAGCAAAGGGAAUGAAAGGGAGAAGGCAAGGGGGAAUAGAAAGGUUGACUGAACAGGGACUAGUAGAUAGCCAUGAGAAUAACCAGAGGUCCAGAAAACAUGACAUACACAGAAGAUCACACUGAUUUAGCUUGACGAGGAAAAGACUGAGGGACACAACAGUUCUUACUGAAAGGAUAGACUUCAAAGCCAGGAGAGCUGUCUGUAUUGCUUUUUCACAGUGGGCAGGUAAAUAAUUAAAUUUGGAGCAAGGAAAAUCCAGAAGAGACCUCACUGAAACUGCUUAAUGGUAAGGAGAGUGAAGUCUUGGGACAGGUAACCUGGGGAGUUUGUGGUGGCCCUGUGUGAGCUGUGAGCUCUAUUGUUGCAUCAGAGAAAUAUGUGUCAGGAAAGACAAAGGAAGAAAAAAGUUCCUAGAGGUCUCUGACAUUACUGUUCUGCACCUUAUUCCCAUACUGUAAGCAUAAAAGAGAAUAGAGGAAACAUAAUCCAUGAAACUAGUGAAAUUCUUGCUUGUUUGUCUUUUUCUUGAUUAAAGACUUACUGACUGCUUACGAACAGAUAGAGGUAUGACAGAUUGAAUUACAGAUACUGACUUCUACUUCACAAAUACAACUUUCUGGCUGAGAUCUUCAUCCAGAUCUCACCAGAAGUCCUGUCCGCUCAGCUGUGUUUCAUAGGCUAAAAGCAGAUCCAAAGCUGUCUAGUCCUGAGCAUUCUGCUCCUUCUUGCAAAGCUCAAGACACAUUGGCUUGUUUAUGGCUUUGUUUUCUUUGCUAUUUGCCAUUUUAUACUAAUCAGUAAUCUUUACAUUAUUUACUGAUGAUGGAUGGGUGAUCUUUGAACAAAAUCAGUCACACUGAACAUUAAUAUCAUGACAGAGCUACAUAGGUUAUGAUACUUUAUACUGUGUAAAAUGAUGCUCUGAGAAUGGCAAAACUCUCAAGUCAUGAGAAAUCAGAUUUUUCCUAAAGCAUCAGAGUGUUAAGAGCACUUAUUUCAUGAAUUAAGCUCCCUCCCUUUCAUCCACUGGUAAGUUGGCAGAAAAGGUGAACAAAAUACAAAAAAGGCAAUCCCUGGUUUCAUAUGAGUAUCUGAGCCAAUGAAGGUCAUGAGAAAAACCUCUGAGCCUGUACUCAUGAAUGUUCACCUUGCACCUGAGAUAACAUCCUCUUUGGCAGGGCUCAGCUUCACAUGGCCACUCAGUGAGCUCAACAACCAUCAGAGUUUUUUUUGUUUCAGGAUUCUUAUUCAGCAGUGAGAAUUCAAGCCCAUCUGACCAAUGCAACUUGCCUCCUCAAAACACCUAUGAGAAUCCUAUUUAGAAUUCAAUGGAAGCACUGGUUCUGAUGAACUUUGAAUAAGACCCCCAUGCCAACUGUCCUCACAAAACAGGGAACGUGGCUGGGAAAAAGUGCCUUGCCUGUAUUUCUCACUUUGUGAUAAUCUUGCUGGACUUCCUUACGUUCAUUUCUUAGGAGACAAGGUAGUCUGAGACACCCACUAGGCAGAGUGUUUUUACAGCUCAUAGAACCAUGGAUUUCAAUGUAUUAUCACAGAGUAGUCAUCACUUAGGACAAGAUUGGACCAGACAACCAACCCAAAGUAUCCUUGAGCCCUAUAAUAACAACAGAAGUGUAUUUUCAUGGAUUGUUAUAAUACCUCUUGCUGUAAAAUUUACCUUGUAUAUCAUGUGCUGUUUAUCACAUCAACAAAUAUCACUUGUUGUUUGUUUCCUUUUGUUAUUAUUAGUCCAUCAUUCUUAAAAUACUGUAUUUUACUUCUCCAAAGACAGACCUUUCAGAUUUAUCCUUU